RNAcentral lists this long non-coding RNA (3606 nucleotides) under Taeniopygia guttata (zebra finch). RNAcentral's name for it is "lncRNA (ENSTGUG00000023589.1)". The record is from RNAcentral. Lineage: Eukaryota; Metazoa; Chordata; Aves; Passeriformes; Estrildidae.
UUUAAAGGUAUAACAUAAAUUUAUUAUUAACAGAAAUAGAGGAGGAUAAUGAGAAGCAAAAUAAGCCUUUAAAACAUCCUUUUUUUUUCCUAGCUCUGACCUCUUUCCCACUGACAGCACAGGGAGACAGCACAUGGGGGUUUUGGUCAGUUCAUCACUCGAGAUCUCCUGUUCGCUCAGGAAGUCUCCUCCCCUCCCACGGGCAUACAAUCUUCCCAAAAUGUCACUCAUCCACACGCUGUAGUCUUUUAAGGCUAGGCUCCUUUAGUUUGGAUGUAAGGGCCUUCUCUGUCUAUUUCUGGAAGCAGGAACCUUCUCUCUUCGUUUGGGUCUCCCACUGGAUCACAGUGUUCUCCUGCAUCCACUCGCUCCAUUGGGAGCACUUUUCCCACGGGCUGCGAGUGGAUCUCUGCAUCCCCUGUGGACCUCACGCAUUAUAAGGCAGAGUUUGUUUCACCAUAGCCCUCACCAUGGCCUCCAGAGGAAUCUCGGCUCUGGCGCUUUGCAGCAAUUCCUCCCCCUCUUUUUCCACUGACCUUGGUGCCGCCAUGUUGUCUCCCUCACAUGUCCUCUCUUCCAUAAGAAAAACUGCUGCUCGUAAGUACCAUUGCCAGUUCCACUAAUUCAAAGAUUCUUGCAGAUCCCACAGCACCAAGAGGUUGAUUUCAUCCAGGUUCUGCAUAGGGCAGUCACCCGCCACGUUUUCACUGUUGGCCACACGGCCCCAGCACCAUGGCACAGACAGCAGCGGCCAUGGCGCUGGCGCUGUUCAACGCCUCUCCUCGCGCGGGAGCGGGAAGGAGAAGCGCCGGGAAGGAGAAGCGCCGGGAAGGAGAAAAGCGCCGGGAAGGAGAAGCGCCGGGAAGGAGAAGCGCCGGGAAGGAGAAGCGCCGGGAAGGAGAAGCGCCGGCCCUGCCCAGUGCCGCAACACGGCCGGCUAGGGCGGCCAGGCAGGCACGGCUCCUGCAGGCCGCGCUGGUGGCCACAGCACCUCCCCACCCCUCAGAGAAAGCUGUGCACAUGCUGUUUUGAUUUUCUUCUGAAGUAUGUCAUCCCCAAGGCGUUACCAACCUCUCUAAAUUGGGCCAGCAGCAUGUCCAUCCUCAGAGCCAUCAGAGAUUGGAGAGAUUGGCUCUGCUGGACAUGGUGGGAGCUCCUAGCAGCUUCCCACAGAAGCCACCCUUGUGCCCCCCCAUGGUUUCCUCCCCUGCCAUUACCAAAACACCAGGCCCUGCCAAAUCAACACACCCCUCAAGGGGUUAUCACAGAUUUAAUGGUAACAGCUUCAAUCACCAGAGCUCAGGUAAACAACCUGAAGCUGCCAUGUCAUGAUUCAAGACCUGCCUACAAGAUAAAGGAUCCAUAAGGAUGCUCCAUUGUUGCCUGCCUUGCUGCAGUUGGCCAUGCAUAGACUUUUAAACACACAUCUCAGUGACUGCUUGGAGUUACAGGCUUGUGAACAGUGCUUGAGAGGAUGCUGCUCUUCAGGGGAAAAAAAGACUGCAGACAAACCCAGCCCCAGAAGCUAAAGAGAACACUUGUUUGUAUGCUUUGUAAUAUCCUAAAUAUGGGAAAGUAACAUUCCCCUAAAGCCACCUCGCUGGUCAGGCCACCCUCUCUUCUGGUUCACAAACUCACUUUCAUGAUUUCACAAGGAACAGCUGCUGGUAUAAAUCAAAUUCUUCACAGAUUAAAGAGAAGGAAUCCAAAAUAAGCUGCUAAAUACAAGCUUUUCCUGAAAAGCACCAUCUGAACCUUGCCUCAAGGCUUACCCCCCAGUCUUUAUGGGGAACAGGGACAGGAUUUCUAAGACAUCCAUUACCAGUUAUUUUAAAUAGAUCUCCAGCAUCUAUUCUCCAUGGACAUGAGGGCUCAAUAGCAUCAAAACUUCAGGACAAAUUAUUUCAGUAAAUCAGAAGAGAAUACAGGAUAAGACACCAGCACCUGAGUGAUUACUAUCAUUAAAGAAAGCAAACAAACCCACUUUUCCAUUCAGUGACUUAGUUCCAGUUCUGCUUGGGAAUCCCAGCAUGGACUGAGCUCUGCAGUCCCAGCACUGAUUGAACUCCACAGUUCCAGCAGAAACAUUCACCUGAUGGAGGAGUCUGCACAGAAAAGCCAGAGAAGAAAUGAAGGAAUGGGGCAUUAAAUGACCUGUCUGGGCACACAGUUAAUUACUGUGGGAUAACAGUCAGAUCUCCAAAAUCCCAGCUCUGUCUCCCCAUCCCUCACAGGCCAUGCUGGCUCACCAAUAAAGACUUCUCUUCCUCAAUAAAGAAGAAGGAAGAAAAAUCAUGACGUGGGGCCAGCAAGGAAGGCAGACAAUCUCCUGCACAUUUUGUUGAGCCAAAAUAAGCCCUUUGAGCUCACCCCUGAGCACUCACAGAAACCAAACACACUCUGAAAGGAAAUGAGUGUUUCAUUCAACCCAGUAUAAGAUAAUUGUAAAUAGUGUAGCAGAGCAGCACAUCAUACAUCAGCAGAGAAGCCUUCAGUAAAUCAUGGGCAGCUGAAGAUCAGACCUGCACCACAGCAGAGCUCCUACACCAACCAUCAGUUCUUACUACUGUGAGAAGACACAACUCCUCACAGGUACCUGCACACAAUGACAUGGCAAGGUAGGGCCAUUGCUCGCAGGGGAACAAACAUGGAUCAUGUGGAAUCACUUAUGCCUAUUUUUCCAGUCCCAUCAGAGACCACUCAAACCCAACACCUCUGAUUUCUCUCCAGGAAGAACAGGCUGUCCCUUUUUAAAAGCCUCAACAAUCCACACAUGACUUUUGAGAUGUCUUGAGACUGAAUUUCUGUAAGAGGAAUGGAGGGAAAUGAGUAAGUCAUUAUGUUUAAGUCAAACCUAUAAAAAGAUACACAAGUGUCAGACUCCUGGGUGACAACUGUGGGGCGGCAGGUGACUCAUGCCCUGGCACAGGCACACUGUAAUUUGGUGCAAAGAAGUCAUGGUAAUCAAUAUUUACAGGUGGGUAUUUUUAUAAAAAAAUACACAUUUGCCACAACAUAUUUAGAGACUGUUCUUUGAAUACAAAUAAAAGCAUAGAUGAAAAAUUCUACACUGCCCUUAAAGAUAAAUAAGUCUUCAAACAUAAAUACAUCUUCAAACCUGACCAUGGAGAUGGACAUUUACCCUGGGUCAAAAGCACCACUAGAACAACCCCACUGACACCAACACCCAAAAGAAGGGGCUGAGAGAAUUUCUUCACAGAAAAGGUUAUUAAACACUGGAAGGGGCUGCCCAGGGAGGUGGUGGAGUCCCCAUCCCUGGAGGUGUUCAAGGAAGGCCUGGACAUGGCACUGUCAAACCAGGACAGGCACGCAGUGCUCUGGGCUGGUGACAAGGUGGGGAUCGGGCACAGGAUGGAGUCGAUGGCCUGGGAGAGCUUUUCCAGCCUAGAUCCAACCUGGUCCUGCAAUUCUGUGACCACUCCACGGGGGACUUCUGAAACUUGUUUAAAGGGAUCACUGCUAUUACACAACUGUUAAAUAUGUUCAUAUUUCCAGCAUGAAAACAAACACUGCCAACAACUCCUCAGAGAUUAAUCUUGGGAAGUACCAGAUAGAUUUCAAGAACAUAAGGUAAUUACUUGGAUG